Molecule: long non-coding RNA, 2292 nt
Organism: Dama dama (fallow deer)
Lineage: Eukaryota; Metazoa; Chordata; Mammalia; Artiodactyla; Cervidae
Exons: 6
Source: RefSeq, a predicted model, not a curated record
CCAUCCAUUUACUGAUGCCUGCAUGUGCCUCUGGUUUCACAAAUACAGGAAACACCCCGGCGCCUGCCCCCUUGGGGCUGACAGUCCAGAGGGAUGACAGACGUUCACAAAUGUUGUGCGAACCCAUGGGUAUGGGCGGUGAUGCGUGCCCUGGGGAGGGUCUCAUAAGACGUUUGCCUCUUUUAAUCCUGUCCAUGAGCAGCUAUAUGAUGAUGAUGUGAUAUCUGGAGCUGCAACAGCCAUCUUGCAGCCAUGAGGCAACAAGCUUGACUACAACAGCAGAGAUACUGAACACACUGAGGUGAAAGAAUACAAGAUCUAAGGGCUUCCCUGGUGGCUCAGACGGUUCAGAUUCUGCCUGCAAUGCAGGAGACCUAGGUUCAGUCCCUGGAUUGGGAAGAUCCCCUGGAGGAGGGCACGGCAACCCACUCCAGUAUUCGUGCCUGGAGAAUCCCAUGGACAGAGGAGCCUGGGGUCGCAGAGAGUCGGACACGACUGAGCGACUCAACAAGAAGACAUCAGAGGCAGAAACAAAGCAAGCUGAAAAACGCGCUGUCUGUGGUGUGUUGGACCAGAACAGUCUGACAGUUCUGUAUCUCAGCGAGUCUUAUGAUGAUGAUGAUAUAUAAUACUCCUUUACCUACUAAAUACUAAAUACGCAGCCCUGCAGCCCUAGGCCCCGGGAUUAGUACAGUUUCACUCGACAGCUGCAUUCAGUGGUGUGUGGAGCAACCAGCUCAAGCCAGUUCCUAACAGCUGACUGUGAACAUCCCUCCCCCACUGCAGGUUCAGUGAUCUCACUUUUGAAGCUUGACGUGAGCCACACUGUAUUUACUCCCCAGAAACUGAUGGCGGAGUAGACGGAUGUGAGCUCCUCUCCUGUGAGAACCCCACAAACUACAACUCGCUGCCCAACAACCAUCAACAGGAGAAUGUCGGAUCCCACCAAAAACAGAUACUUUGCCAACAAAGGUCCGUCUCGUCAAGGCUAUGGUUUUCCCAGUGGUCAUGUAUGGAUGUGAGAGUUGGACUAUAAAGAAAGCUGAGCACAGAAGAAUUGAUGCUUUUGAACUGUGGUGUUGGAGAAGACUCUUGAGAGUCCCUUGGACUGCAAGGAAAUCCAACCAGUUCAUCCUAAAGGAAAUCGGUCCUGAGUAUUCAUUGGGAGGACUGAUGCUGAAGCUGAAACAGCAAUAUUUUGGUCACUUGAUGUGAAGAACUGACUCAUUGGAAAACACCCUGAUGCUGGGAAAGAUUGGGAGAAUCCCAGGGACAGAGGAGCCUGACGGGCUAUGGUCUAUAGGGCUCAAAAGAGUUGGACACAACUGAAGUGACGAACACACUGCCUUCUUUUGGUGCUCAUCUGUUGGUGAAGAAUUCAGUUUUUCGUUGCCUGAAAUUAAUGUCUUUAUCUCACCUCCAAUUUUGAAGUUUUCUCCUGCUGUAGAGUUCUAGGUUGGCAUUUAUUUUUUAGCACUUAAAUAUGGCAUUAAUCAGUUUUGUUUCAAAUGACUGCAGGUCUUCUCAUUGCUCCUUUGAAAAUAAUGUGUCCUUUUUCUCUCAGUGCUUUUAAGACUUUGCCUUUGGAGUUCAGCAGUUUUCCUCUGAUGUGUCUCCGUGUAUGUGUGUGUUGACUUUUACUGAAGUGUAAUAGAUUAAAAUUGGACGUGUAGAAUGCACAGCUUGACAAAUCCUCACAGAAUCAGCACUCCUAGGUUUUCCAGUAACUUCUCUCCAAAGGUAAUGACUUUGCUGACUUCAACAGCAUGGGUUAAAUGUGCCUGUUACAGUUCUUUAUCUUAGCGUGAAUAUUCUCUGCAGCCUCUGUGUGUGUGUGUGUGUGUGUGUGUGUGGCUUCCUCUGCUCAACCGAAUAUUUUAAGAUUUGUCCAACACCCUGGGUGCUGUGGAGUGUUUUAUUGUGUGAAUCACCACCACGUGUACAUCCCCCCUAGUGUAAAGAGGCAUUUGCUUAGCUUCCAGUUUACAUUAGGAUGGAAAGUGUUGCUUUGAAUGUGUCAAUUCAUGUCCAGUGGUGAGCGUAUAUGUGCGUUUCUGUUGGAAUAAACCUCGGACUGUAAUUGCCGUGUGUUGUGCAUUUAUUCAGUUCUAGUAGGCACUUCUGAAUAUGUUUCGCAGUGAUGGCAUCAGUUCACACUCUGAGCAUUCUGGUUACCCCACAUCCUCACUGGUCCCUCUGCUUUCCCAUCUUCUUAUUUUUGCCUUGCUGUGAGGGGUGGUGGUACCUUUGUGGUAUUACUUUGCAUGUCUCUGGUAACGAAUGCAUUUGGGA